UCUCUUCUUCUUCUAUGAUUUUUUUUUUAUGAAACCGAUUGAAUAAUAAUCGUAUUGUCCGUCAAUGAAACCGUCGCCAUCAAAGGGAAGCCGAGGGGCUAUGUUUAAAUUUUAAUGCCAUGUUUAAUUCCUUUUUAUGCUCCUUUCACCUAACGCAUGUUUUUAUUCCACCACUAAUCUCUGCGAUAUCAUCGUUGAUCUAGCUGCUGGCAACAUACGUUUCUAUCAGCAGCUAGCUGUCCUAGCUAGCCUCAUCAGUUCAGCGCAUCGAUGGGAGAUUGGGAGCCGGCACUGCUCGAUGUCUCUCUCGCCCUCAUCUUAUCGCCCGCGUCAGCGAUAUAUAGUGCCAACCAGGUCCAGGAAGUUCUUAAGUUCUUUGAUGAUACCCAUGUAGCUGACCUUCUUUGAUGAUACUUUGUUCCCAUAUCUGAUUGGUUGAUAUACAUUGCAAUGUGUAGGCACCAAACAAAGCAGUUGUUGUGUUCCUUUGCAUAGAGAUUUUUACAUCAUCUCUGAUAUGUCUCAUGUUUCUGUUAAUUAUCUCCUAUCCCAGUCCACUUUCAUGGGCUUUAAAGCUGCACUGCCAGUAAAUUGAGGUGGUGAAGGCCAUCUGUGGAUCCAAAAUAUAUUGUUCUUUGGCUAAGAUUUUAGGUCUGGCUGUUUUUCUCCAUUUCAUAUAAGCUUUUUGAAAAUAUCCCAUAUUAAAUAUUUCUAUUUGAGAAA
Non-coding RNA from Oryza sativa Japonica Group (Japanese rice), 723 nucleotides. The record is from RefSeq and is a predicted model, not a curated record. Lineage: Eukaryota; Viridiplantae; Streptophyta; Magnoliopsida; Poales; Poaceae.